GUCUUGUCUCUCAGCCCUUUGGUGUCCCAAGCAGCAGUUGCCACAGGCAAGCUUUCCCAGCCCAGCUGCUGCCAGCAUCCCCCCAGCUUGCCAUUGCCACCUUCCUGGGUGAGGCGCGCGCACGUUUGCCAUUGGCAUUUGCCGUUGCCCAUCCCUGAGAGUGGCAAGCAGUGCGUAGGUCCAGCACGAGAGAGGGGAGAGGCCAAGCGAGAGGGGCAAGGGCUCAGGAGCGUGGCUGCAGCUGGAGCAGGUGCCUGCAGAGGUCUCUGUGCCUGCGUGCUGAGCGGGCCUGGGUGCUGCAGGGGCCGUCGAGGAGAAGCCCGAGGUCGGUCACGGGUAGCCGUAAGAGUAGGCUCUGGCGUGGUCCUUCUGCCGCUGCUCGAAGAAUUGCACGGGGCCGAUCUUCAUGUGGUGGGCUGCCCGCUGCCGCUCCUCCUGGGCCAGCUUCUUGAGGCGCUCCCGCUCGGGACGCUGCUGCGGCGUGAUGGGCACCGACGACUCCUGCUCCUCCAGCGGUGUGGGCGCUGCGUCGCUGCCCGCCCAGGGCCCCACGCAGGGCAUGUAGUCCCCGCGGGGCUGCGCCGGACUGCGAGGGGGACUGGGCAGGGCUCUCCUCAGGGCUGGGAGAAGUUGAGGCCUCUUGAGGGGAGCCAAGGGAGGCCGGGGCAGGGUUCUCUUGCGGGCGGGGACGAACUCCUGCUGGGGAGGCCUUUUGGGGAGAGGCUUGGGCAGGGGUCUCCUGCAGACAGGGUCGGGGGGGCUCUGGAGGGGACUCAAGCGAGGCUUGGGCAGGGCUCUCCUGAGGGCAGUGAGGAAGUCAGGGUCGGGGGGGCUCUGGACGGGAGCCUGGGGAGGCAGGGGCAGGGGUCUCUUGCGGGCAGGGAGGCAGUCAGGGUUGGGGGGCCUCUUGAGGGGAGCCAAGGGAGGCUGGGGCAGGGUUCUCCUGCGGGCAGGGAUGAAUUCCUGCUGGGGGGCUCUUUUGGGCAGGGCUCUCCUGAGCUGGGGCCGGGCUGCAGGCUUGAGGGGGGAGCUAAGUGGCGGCACAGCAGCUGCAGGGGGCUGCAGCGCCCGCCCAGCCUGCACCUUGUCAGGGUGCAGCCCAGGGCUUGAGGGGACCUCACCCAGCGCUCUGGUGGCUGCCAGUCCGUGUGUGCUCGGCUCCUCGAUGUCCUCACAGAGGUCGGGCAGCUGCGAGAGGAAGCGCUUGAGGACAGGACUGCUGGGGACAGCGGUGAAGGCAUCCUGAGGCUCCACGGCAUCAAGGCAGCUGAGCAGCUCCUCCAAGCCGGAGCUGUCCAGGUCGGCCGGGAGCUGGUCCUGCAGGUGCUGCAGCUGCUGGCUGUCCCCUGCCAGCUGGGGAAAGGCCUCGGCGAAGGCAUCGGGGCCCAGCUCCAGCAGCUCCAGGGGCUCCUCAGGCACCUCUGCAAGUGUCGCCGCUGAGGAAAAAGCAAGCCAAUGCAAUCCCCCAGGCAUCCCCCGAUGCCAGCUUUGCCAUGGCUCCUGGGUGUGGGGUGCCCAGCGGCCGGCUGGGCCAGCCCCAAACUCACCAUCGGGCGUCAGCGUCUGGGUGCUGGCGGUCGCUGGAGCCUGGGCAGGCUCGGGGGGAGUGGGGCCGGGCAGCGGGGGCCCCUGGUCCUCGCUGAGCCCCACGGCAUGCAAGCAGGGCUCCGGCAGCUGCCCCCGGCUGCUGCUCAGGGUGCGGGGCGCGGGGAGCACCUGCCCCUGCAGCGGAUGCCCCGGGACGAGGAGUGGGGGGGGG
This 1759-nucleotide long non-coding RNA is filed under the name Anas platyrhynchos platyrhynchos (common mallard). RNAcentral describes it as "lncRNA (ENSAPLG00000018338.1)". Lineage: Eukaryota; Metazoa; Chordata; Aves; Anseriformes; Anatidae. The record is from RNAcentral.